This 398-nucleotide long non-coding RNA is filed under the name Dermacentor andersoni. RNAcentral describes it as "uncharacterized LOC126535318". The record is from RNAcentral. Lineage: Eukaryota; Metazoa; Arthropoda; Arachnida; Ixodida; Ixodidae.
CUUUUAGGUACUCAAGAAAUGGCAACAUCCAGAAGAAGACGCCAUCUUAUCCAGCACGUUAUGGGUACACUCUGGUAGCUGCCGCCCCUGCAUCCUACCAACACCGUGUCCUGACUACGUCCACUAGGGAGUUCGAAGCCUUUGGCGGCUCCUGCCACUGCGUCCUGCCACCACCGUGUCCUGACUACGUCCACUAGGGAGUUGGCAGCCUUCAUGAUGAUGCCAAGCAGGCUGGAAGCCGACAAAGAUUAAAGUUGCCUCGAAAUUUUACCCGAGCCGUGCCACACACUCUGGCCAGGCCUCCUGCAAACGACGUAUAACCAGGCUCAACGCAUGAGUGUCGAAUCAAUUUUCAUCUCACGCUAACAAACAGAAAUUGUGUGGGAAAAAGUGCCAAC